RNAcentral lists this ribosomal RNA (497 nucleotides) under uncultured bacterium. RNAcentral describes it as "partial 16S ribosomal RNA". It matches the Rfam family "Bacterial small subunit ribosomal RNA", at positions 28 to 507 of the family's 1533-position model. The record is from RNAcentral.
GAUGAACGCUGGCGGCGUGCCUAAUACAUGCAAGUCGAGCGAACGGACGAGGAGCUUGCUUCUCUGAUGUUAGCGGCGGACGGGUGAGUAACACGUGGAUAACCUACCUAUAAGACUGGGAUAACUUCGGGAAACCGGAGCUAAUACCGGAUAAUAUUUUGAACCGCAUGGUUCAAAAGUGAAAGACGGUCUUGCUGUCACUUAUAGAUGGAUCCGCGCUGCAUUAGCUAGUUGGUAAGGUAACGGCUUACCAAGGCAACGAUGCAUAGCCGGCCUGAGAGGGUGAUCGGCCACACUGGAACUGAGACACGGUCCAGACUCCUACGGGAGGCAGCAGUAGGGAAUCUUCCGCAAUGGGCGAAAGCCUGACGGAGCAACGCCGCGUGAGUGAUGAAGGUCUUCGGAUCGUAAAACUCUGUUAUUAGGGAAGAACAUAUGUGUAAGUAACUGUGCACAUCUUGACGGUACCUAAUCAGAAAGCCACGGCUAACUACGUG